CCUACGGGGCGCAGCAGUGGGGAAUAUUGGACAAUGGGCGAAAGCCUGAUCCAGCCAUGCCGCGUGUGUGAAGAAGGCCUUCGGGUUGUAAAGCACUUUCAGUGGGGAAGAAAGCCUUGGGGCUAAUACCCUCGAGGAAGGACAUCACCCACAGAAGAAGCACCGGCUAACUCCGUGCCAGCAGCCGCGGUAAUACGGAGGGUGCGAGCGUUAAUCGGAAUUACUGGGCGUAAAGCGCGCGUAGGCGGUCUGAUAAGCCGGUUGUGAAAGCCCCGGGCUCAACCUGGGAACGGCAUCCGGAACUGUCAGGCUAGAGGGCAGGAGAGGAAGGUAGAAUUCCCGGUGUAGCGGUGAAAUGCGUAGAGAUCGGGAGGAAUACCAGUGGCGAAGGCGGCCUUCUGGACUGACACUGACGCUGAGGUGCGAAAGCGUGGGUAGCAAACAGGAUUAGAUACCCCAGUAGUC
RNAcentral lists this ribosomal RNA (465 nucleotides) under Vreelandella stevensii. RNAcentral's name for it is "partial 16S ribosomal RNA". It matches the Rfam family "Bacterial small subunit ribosomal RNA", at positions 338 to 795 of the family's 1533-position model. The record is from RNAcentral. Lineage: Bacteria; Pseudomonadati; Pseudomonadota; Gammaproteobacteria; Oceanospirillales; Halomonadaceae.